CGCUGGCGGCGUGCCUAACACAUGCAAGUCGAGCGGACCGAUAAUGAAAGCUUGCUGGAUUGAUCGGUAGCGGCGGACGGGUGAGUAACGCGUGAGCAAUCUGUCCUUCGACAGGGGGAUAAUACCGCGAAAGUGGUUCUAAUACCGCAUGAGACCACGGCAGGGCAUCCUGCGGGGGUCAAAGGAGCAAUCCGGUGAAGGGUGAGCUCGCGUCCGAUUAGAUAGUAGGUGAGGUAACGGCCCACCUAGUCGACGAUCGGUAGCCGACCUAAGAGGGUGAUCGGCCACAUUGGGACUGAGACACGGCCCAGACUCCUACGGGAGGCAGCAGUGGGGAAUAUUGGGCAAUGGGGGAAACCCUGAACCCCCAGCAACGCCGCGUGGAGGAAGAAGGUUUUCGGAUCGUAAACUCCUGUCCUGCAGGAAGAGGAGAAGACUGUACUGCAGGAGGAAGCCCCGGCUAACUACGUGCCAGCAGCGGC
RNAcentral lists this ribosomal RNA (482 nucleotides) under uncultured bacterium. RNAcentral's name for it is "bacterial SSU rRNA". It matches the Rfam family "Bacterial small subunit ribosomal RNA", at positions 34 to 518 of the family's 1533-position model. The record is from RNAcentral.